GACGAACGCUGGCGGCGUGCUUAACACAUGCAAGUCGAACGGAAAGGCCCUGCUUUUGUGGGGUGCUCGAGUGGCGAACGGGUGAGUAACACGUGAGUAACCUGCCCUUGACUUUGGGAUAACUUCAGGAAACUGGGGCUAAUACCGGAUAGGAGCUCCUGCUGCAUGGGGGGGGUUGGAAAGUGUCGGCGGUUGGGGAUGGACUCGCGGCUUAUCAGCUUGUUGGUGGGGUAGUGGCUUACCAAGGCUUUGACGGGUAGCCGGCCUGAGAGGGUGACCGGCCACCUUGGGACUGCGAUACGGCCCAGACUCCUACGGGACGCAGCAGUGGGGAAUAUUGCACAAUGGGCGGACGCCUGAUGCAGCAACGCCGCGUGCGGGAUGACGGCUUUCGGGUUGUAAACCGCUUUCGCCUGUGACGAAGAGUGAGUGACGGUAAUGGGUCAAGAAGCACCGGCUAACUACGUG
Molecule: ribosomal RNA, 468 nt
Filed under: uncultured bacterium
Lineage: Bacteria
Description: partial 16S ribosomal RNA
Rfam family: Bacterial small subunit ribosomal RNA
Source: RNAcentral